RNAcentral lists this ribosomal RNA (253 nucleotides) under uncultured bacterium. Its description in RNAcentral is "partial 16S ribosomal RNA". It matches the Rfam family "Bacterial small subunit ribosomal RNA", at positions 524 to 776 of the family's 1533-position model. The record is from RNAcentral. RNAcentral also lists the same sequence under 1 other name.
UACGAAGGGGGCUAGCGUUGCUCGGAAUUACUGGGCGUAAAGCGCACGUAGGCGGGCUAUUAAGUCGGGGGUGAAAUCCUGGAGCUCAACUCCAGAACUGCCUUCGAAACUGAUAGUCUUGAGUUCGGGAGAGGUGAGUGGAACUGCGAGUGUAGAGGUGAAAUUCGUAGAUAUUCGCAAGAACACCAGUGGCGAAGGCGGCUCACUGGCCCGAUACUGACGCUGAGGUGCGAAAGCGUGGGGAGCAAACAGG